GUGCUCCGGCUCGGCGCCGCCUCCCGAUCCCUCCCUGCACCCACCCCACUCCCCGCUCCUCCCCCUCCCAGGCUGUCACACGCGGCCAGGCAGCGCUGGGCUUCGACCCAAGCGCUGCCGACGGCUCUGGGCGGAGAGGACUGACCUAACCCGGGGAUAGGAAUCCUAAGCCCUACUCUCCAAGGACUGGGAGAUGCUGGCAGGAUGGAGAUUGGAGCUCUCCCACAACCACCAGCAAACCUACAGAACGCCCCCCAACCCACCCCCACCCUCGUCUGCAGCUCCCACCUUCCUUCCCCUCUAUCAGUUCCUGUGUUGCUUACCCCCACCUCCCUUACCCCCUCCCCCAACUAAAGGAUUGUUCUGCUUGGAUACAGAGAGAGGGCUGGUGGCCUUUUUUCUGGAGCAACAGGAGGAUUGAGCUUUGCCAGGGCAUCCUUGAGAAGCAGCCAGGGAAGGUGUUUUGACACCACAAGAUGUCUAUCUUAUAUUCACAGCUACACUCCAUCCAAAGCUGCAACAUCUCCAAGAUUCCUGGUUUGGGGGGGGGGUCACAGAGCCAUUAGGUGGUGAUGGAAGUGGGCAAAUGGCAGAACCUGCUAAAAGCUCUUCUUUCUUGAGGAAUCAGUAAAGAAAUAGGCAGAGUGUUGGCUCUAUACCAAACAGGAAAAUACUCUCUUUUGGCACUGCUAAGACUGUUGCCAUUGACCUAAUGCAGCCUUAUGUCCAGCGUGAGUCCCUCACGCUAAUCUCUCUCCUGCUGCAAUCUGAGUCCUACCUAGAGCAAGGAAGCAGUCACCCCUAGGAAACUCAAACUCUCUUUCCAAUUCAUAGACACACUCAGGCUUGGGAAAGCCAAAGGCCAGCAGGCAUGCAGGAAGCAAUAGACCUCAUUAUACAACAAAACUGCCUUUGAUUCUGUACUGACAUAGACAGUCACAGCCACAAGCAAAAGAGCAAUGGUUUGGAGUCUCAUUAAAAGCACACCUACUGCUUCACGGGAGAGCUGCUUUGGGGGCUGGUCAAAAUGCCCUCAAGUGGACAGAGAUGAACUUUACAGAAAAUUAUGGGGACACUACACUGAACACUGAAAUGUUUAAAGGUGAAUGGUAUGUUGUAGAUCCAUUUCAGAAAGAAAAACUACACCCAUUAUGUGUAAACAUUUUAAAGUGGAGCUGGGCUAGCAGUACGCUAAGAUGAUAGAAAGAGUCCCACAGGACCUCAAUACAUCAGCAGACCAUCUGUCAAGCAGGAUGAGUGGAAAAAAGCAGGAGAAAGAAAAAAGAUAGAAAAAGCACAUAAGGCACAACGAGACUUAAAUAGAUCAGACCAUGCUGGAUUGGAGGGAAAAGUAGGAGGGAAAAGAUCAUCAGAGGAUACAUUAACUACAACUCAGCAUCAAAACCAACUUCGCAAGUAGACUGGGGAUGUGUUUAUAGGGGCACAAUCUCCAUGAGCCAGGACAAUCAUCUUUUUCUGCCACUACACUUGGCAUUGGUCAGGCUUUUAUUACUGCAGAGUGUCCUAUUCUGGCCUCUGCACUUGGCUCUAAGAGAAGCAGUCGUCCUCUCGACUAGAGUCACAAACACCCAUAGCCCACUUAAAUGCAUACUAAUGUGCCCCAAUUCUUAGCCCUAUAAACGAAUGUGGAAAUGCUAAUGCGUCAGACAGUCGUGCAUAAUUCCCUUUCUUGCUGGGAGCUUUUUCCAGCCUUCUGUGGCUCUAACUAAAGACUCAGACUCAGCCUGCAGGACUGUGCCAGGGAAAUGGCUAUCAUAAACACUAGCAGCUCAUACACAAACACUGGGCUGGACUAGGUACUGAAGGGCCCAGUCACGCCCCCAUGUGGUCAGAGCUAAUUACUGUCCCUGGGAUACUGCAGUUUCUGUGGGUGGGGAAUUCACUAAUACUGUAUCCCAUGCUUCUGUCGACACAGAACCCACAGGUAGUGCUGAGAGCUAGCCCUUGAAUACCAAGCAUAAACUGAGGAUGGCAAAGGAGGUUAGGUGCUUUUAGCUUGUCAGUACUAGGGGUUGAAUGCAGGACCAUCUAGCAAGGCAAGCACUCUAUUACCAAGUAAUACACACAUCCAACGGCAGGGAGCUGAAAAGCCAUGGGUGGACAGUUAAGAAGUGGAUGAACUCCUGAGUGAAUGUGUAUUACUGACCCAGGCACUGUCAUGUCAAGGACCAAUGCCUCAGACCCGUGGGAAACUGGCAAAGCCUACCCCAGCUUGGCCAACUGGUAAAGCCUUCCUCUGGCGUAAAUGCAAAUGCCGACAGUAGGCAAGUAUGAAUAUUUACUAAUGAUUGACCAGUGUGUAGAAAAACUAGCAAGUCCUGGAUGCUGAAUGAUGACAGCCUGAGACUGUUCAUUUAGAGACCUACAAGACUAACUCAUUCUUCCCCUCUAUGCUAUACCUAAAAAAUACAUCAGGGGUUCCAGGCUGCAUGUAGUAGGUGGUACCACUCCACUAGAGUGUGCACACCUCACCUGACCCAACUUUUUGGCAUAUGUGUGGAUCAUUUCUUUAGUGUUUGCCCUUUCUUCACUCCCUCACUACCCGUCAGGUUUCCAGGCCCAAGCCUAGAGGGAUAUAUGGUACACAAUCCCACAGAUGCCUUCUUGCUUUUGGUCUUGGUACUUGAAGCUUAGAAUCCCCCUGAAAUGCAGCUUUCUGCCAGACCGUAAAGUUAAGAAUGGGAAGCCAUGGUUACCUGGAGCAGCUGGACUCAGAUGGGGACCUUUGCUGGCCUUCGUAUUGCUGCACAAGUGCUCGCACACUCCAGUAUGGGUUCUCGAUCUCCUCAUCCACACUGGCAUUCCUAGGGGUGAAGGCGUGGGGUGGGGACCAGAAGAGAGGACAGUAUUAGUUAGCUCUGCAGUUCAGGUCAGCUCUGCAGAAAAUGCAGAUGUCCUGCCACUCAGUCUGCAGUGCAGGCAAGAAGAUGAAAAAGGGAGCCGGGUAGGCACACACCUGUCAUUCGAGCAUUGGGAGGCAGAGGCAGGAGGAUCAGAAGUUUGAGACCAGCCUGGGCUGCACAGCAAGAUCCUGUCUAUAAUCAAUCAAUCAAUCUCUCUUUCACACACACACACACACACACACACACACACACACACACACACACACACACACAGGAAUAAAUAUAGAAGGUAAACAAUUAAAAAUAUUGACCUCUUUCUAUGUCAUUUAAAACCUAGGAGCGAAGGCAUUGUCUGUGAUACCGUGGGAUCAUGUUCUCCUUUAACAACUACAUAACCCUCAAAGCACUUCCUACCGAGAAGUUUCAAGGCAGUCUGGCCUUAUGGAUACAAUCCCAGGAUACAACCUCCCCAAGAUGGACUACAUAUCUCCCAGUGAAGAAAACACACUGUGCCAAUCACAUAUAUUUAAGUUUUCAGGAUGAGAGCAAAUUUCCACACAUGGUUCCUUACGUUCUGCUAGCUGCAAAAUAAACAGCUGAGAAAAAGAAGGCUCAGCCUGGCUUGCUGCUGUGAGCCCGUAAUCCU
Molecule: non-coding RNA, 3510 nt
Organism: Rattus norvegicus (Norway rat)
Lineage: Eukaryota; Metazoa; Chordata; Mammalia; Rodentia; Muridae
Source: RefSeq, a predicted model, not a curated record